This 253-nucleotide ribosomal RNA is filed under the name uncultured bacterium. Its description in RNAcentral is "partial 16S ribosomal RNA". It matches the Rfam family "Bacterial small subunit ribosomal RNA", at positions 524 to 776 of the family's 1533-position model. The record is from RNAcentral.
UACGGAGGGUGCAAGCGUUAUCCGGAUUCACUGGGUUUAAAGGGUGCGUAGGUGGGUCUGUAAGUCAGUGGUGAAAUCUCCGAGCUUAACUCGGAAACUGCCAUUGAUACUAUAGAUCUUGAAUUAUCUGGAGGUAAGCGGAAUAUGUCAUGUAGCGGUGAAAUGCUUAGAUAUGACAUAGAACACCAAUUGCGAAGGCAGCUUACUACGGAUAUAUUGACACUGAGGCACGAAAGCGUGGGGAUCAAACAGG